This 71-nucleotide transfer RNA is filed under the name Microbulbifer sp. ZGT114. It matches the Rfam family "tRNA". From Rfam's summary of the family: Transfer RNA (tRNA) molecules are approximately 80 nucleotides in length. Their secondary structure includes four short double-helical elements and three loops (D, anti-codon, and T loops). Lineage: Bacteria; Pseudomonadati; Pseudomonadota; Gammaproteobacteria; Cellvibrionales; Microbulbiferaceae. The record is from Rfam by way of RNAcentral.
GCGGCCAUGGCUGAGUGGCGAGGUGCCGGCCUUCCAAGCCCAGGACGCGGGUUCGAAUCCCGCUGGCCGCU